This 331-nucleotide ribosomal RNA is filed under the name uncultured Pseudomonadota bacterium. RNAcentral describes it as "bacterial SSU rRNA". It matches the Rfam family "Bacterial small subunit ribosomal RNA", at positions 30 to 351 of the family's 1533-position model. Lineage: Bacteria; Pseudomonadati; Pseudomonadota. The record is from RNAcentral.
AUUGAACGCUGGCGGAAUGCUUUACACAUGCAAGUCGAACGGCAGCACGGGAGCUUGCUCCUGGUGGCGAGUGGCGAACGGGUGAGUAAUGCGUCGGAACGUACCGAGUAAUGGGGAGUAACGACACCGAAAGGUAGUGCUAAUAACCGCAUACGCCCUCGAGGGGGAAAGGUAGGGGAGUCGGCAAGACCUCACGUUAUUCGAGCGGCCGACGUCUGAUUAGCUAGUUGGUGAGGUAAUGGCUCACCAAGGCGACGAUCAGUAGCGGGUCGUGAGAGGAUGAUCCGCCACACUGGAACUGAGACACGGUCCAGACUCCUACGGGAGGCAG